AACGAACGCUGGCGGCAUGCCUAACACAUGCAAGUCGAACGCGUCCUUCCGGUCUAGUGCUGCACGGGUGCGUAACGCGUGGGAACCUGCCCUUAGGUUAGGAAUAACUUAACGUACGGGGUGCUAAUACAGGAUAAUGUCUUACGACUAAUGAUUGAUCGUAUUAGGUUGGGCCCGCGUUGGAUUAGCUGGUUGGCACGGUAAAAGCCUACCAAGGCGACGAUCCAUAGCUGGUUAGUGAGAAUGGGCAGUGACACUGGGACUGGGACACGGCACAGACUCCUACGGGAGGCAGCAGUGUGGAAUAGUGGACAGUGGGCGGAGGGAUGAUCGAGCAAGGCCGCUAGAGUUAUGAAGGCCGUGGAGAUCAAGGACGCUUGUACCCGAGAGGAUAAUGACAGUACCGAAAGAAUAAGCUACGGCUAACUCCGUG
This 433-nucleotide ribosomal RNA is filed under the name uncultured bacterium. Its description in RNAcentral is "partial 16S ribosomal RNA". It matches the Rfam family "Bacterial small subunit ribosomal RNA", at positions 29 to 507 of the family's 1533-position model. The record is from RNAcentral.